RNAcentral lists this ribosomal RNA (5067 nucleotides) under Triticum aestivum (bread wheat). RNAcentral describes it as "partial small subunit ribosomal RNA". The record is from RNAcentral. Lineage: Eukaryota; Viridiplantae; Streptophyta; Magnoliopsida; Poales; Poaceae.
AUGUCGGGCCCGCGUCCCGCCGCCGCGCCGAACCCUAGCUCCGCGUCGCCCUCCCCGCCCCCUCCCCCGCCGGCCGCCGUCGCCAGGGUCGCGGCCAGGGUGCGCGAGGAGGGCGAGGUCUCCUCAGGCCCCUCCGACGACGAGGCUCUGCAAUCUCAGCUGUUAGCUCUAUCCAAUGCUGGGAAAUAUGUGCAGGCUGCUGCUCAAGUGACGUUGGCAACUUUCCCUGGUAAAGGAGGUAGUAGUUUGAGUCUCUCAAAUGUUCUUCCUCAGAAAACAGUUGCUCCAAGUUAUAAGAAGACCUUGAGGGGGAAUCAAGGGCAAUUCAAACUUGGCACCAGUCGUAAUCUUGCUUGGUUGAAACCUGUGCCAAGUGAUAACUUGGUGAUAAGUUUCUCUGAUGAUGAUAUUGAGACCGACCCUGGAAUGUCAAAGCAAGUUGGAGGUAAAGGUAGCAAAGCCAGCACACAAGUUACACAUAAACCUGGGAUGAGUGUGCAAACUAGACUUAUGAGAGAGGAAGCACCCCAACAAAAGAUCCAUGCUGCAAACAUAGGAUCCACGAAAUGGUCUGCUAAUGCACACACACUCAGAAACUCGGCGGCAGGUAGGGGCUCAGGUGCUACCUUUUCUAGAAGAGAGCCACCUAUUCGUCAAGUUACACCUCUGAAGUCUUCCCAGAAGGAUGGAACUGGUAUGGGAGUAAAGUCAGCAGAUGACAAGUUGGAAAGUUUGCGCCACAAAAUUGCUGCUAGAGAAAAUGAGUUAAAAGUUCAGAAAAGACCGAUAUCACCUGGUUUUGUGAAGGAAGCUGACUACUCCACUGAUCAGACAAGGCCACCUUUGGAGAAGAUAGGCUUUGAAGCUUCCAACAGUGGUCGGCAUGCUCACCUUGACGGUCCAUUUGGACAUGAUGGCAGACCAGUUAAAAGGCUGAAGCCCAAUCAGCAGUGUUUCGAUAACCAAGUAGGAGGUGAUUUGGUAACACUGGUAACACCUGGAAGUUCAUUGGGAAAUGAUAAUGUACAAUCUUCUGAAAGAAGGGAUCACAUUGAAAAUGGAAUCACCAUGAACUGUAAAGGUAAUGAGACAGAACAUGCCAUCACAACAGAAUCCUCAGAUCAAAUGCAUAUUGGUGGUACUGCUAAGAACCUUCUGUCAUCAAAAAGUCACCACAUGGUUCUACAAGAUGGUGGCAACCAUGCCAUGGUUGAAUGUCAUAGCAAGCUUGCAGGGCCACCAUUUACUAGUGAGCAACCUAUGGCUGAAGAUACCAGUGCUUUGGUUCCCGUUACUUCUGUACCAGCAGGGGCCAAUGUAGACAGGUCAUCUCUUCAUGCCAAGGACCAUAUUUUUUCUACCCAGGAUUGGCAACAAGUAAAGCCUGUUGAUACUUCAACUGUGUCAAAUGAAAGGCUGCACUUGCAGCCUGGAAUGGAGAAUGCUGAUCUCUUAAACCGGAGCGGCCAGGUGGGUAUAAGAGGCCAGAACACAACAUUGCUCUCUCUGCUUGAGAUGGAGGAACUCCAAGACAGGGAGUUGGAGGUUGCUCAGGAGCAUAGGCGAAAAUGUGAAGUUGAAGAAAGAGAAGCUCUCAGAGCAUAUCGCAAAGCACAAAAAGCUUUAAUUGAGGCCAAUGAAAGAUGUACCAUUCUUCGUGGAAAAAGAGAAGUUUGCUCUGCACAAGUCCAUGGUUUGAUUGCAGAGAAUUCUUCUUUGGCGCAGUGUUCAAAUAUUCAGAAUGCUGGACGUGGCUUUGUAAUGCCGUCACUACUCAACUCUCAGUUCCAUGCAGAUCUUCAGAUGCCUGAGAUCUGUGGUGGUAGGUCUAGCAGUCCAUACCAAGAUGAACCUCCUCAACAGCCGGUGGAUAAGCACGAGGCACGCUCACGCCAUUGUGAUGAGCUUGCUGCUGGCAUUGCUGAUCCAAAAUUUGCGAGUACUGUCCAUGAUAACAGUGAACCUUCACAUUACAGGGAAGAGGAUCUCCUGUUCUCUUCUAAGCGGGCUAGAUCAGAAUGCACUUCAAAUCUGGAGAAUGAGGAAACUAUACAUGCAUAUUUGGAGGAAAACAGAGAGCCUUCUGGUGAUAACGGUCAGGACUAUGAACUUUUAGAAGCUUCUUUGAGGUCCAGAUUGGUGCAAAAAUUUGCAAGGAAUCCACAUCUGAAUAACUCUGGAGAAGUCACUGAAGAGCAUUUAGAAGUAACGGAACAAGGCAAACAACCUGCAAAUGUUGAACUUCAGUUACAGGAUGCUGAUGAGAUUAUGACAAAUCCUGAAGGCACAGCGGAACUUGCAAAUGAUGGCGCUGAUUGUGUUGAAAAGAUGUCUGGACUAUCUAAUUCUAGUAAUGCUCUUUCCAUGGGCAACUGUGAUCCUGAGGACAAUAUUUCCUCUCUUGGAGAAUUAUGCGCGCCAUCAAGUGUGAAUUCUCUCAUUUUUCCUUCUUCAGCGCCACUAAAUGCUGCUAAACACAUCAAGUGGGUAGUCCAUGGCUUCUGUAAAAAUGAUUCUAUAACCAGCAAUGUAGCAUCUGAUGCAAUGGUAAGUGGACAGUAUAUGAUACAAGACCGCGUUGAAGAGAAUUUGAAGAUGGUCUCAACAGCUACAAAGGAUAAGGACAUGGUGCACAGUGGGAUUGAUCCCUUCUGGCCCUUCUGCAUGUUUGAGCUCCGAGGAAAGUGCAAUGACGAAGAGUGUCAAUGGCAGCAUAUUGAGAAUCAUGCUUGGAGAAAGUCAAAUCACACAAAACAUGCCAUGUCUUCUGUUUCAGGUCGGAGUCCUUAUGAUCUGUUUCAGCAUAUUCUGCCAGUGCCAACAUAUCGUGUUGGUUCAAAUCUUAUUAGAGCCGAUCUGAACUUAAUGCAGUCGGUGCUGGCUAGCAGUAUAUGGCAAUAUUGGCAAAGGGGGUUUUGCGCUUCCUUUCCUUUACCUUUGUCAGUUCAGAGAGUUCUUCCAUCAGAUGCACCAUUCUUACAAGCUGGUGAUGGUUCGAUUGCAGAUUUUGAUAGGAACAGACAGCUAUCAAAUUUGCGAAUGCUGGAUGGUAGGAAGAAUAAGAUUGUACAUGGAUCUGUUGAUGUUGAGCUUUUCUUAGAGGCUGCACUUGGUUUAUAUUGUGGGAAAGUAAACAAACCUGACAGGCUCAAGGCUCUUUUACUUCUAGCACGUUCCAUUGAGGCUGAUCCAAGCACAGUUAUUCUGUGGGUGUUUUAUCUUCAUAUUUACUAUCAAAAGGAUGAAGGUCUUGGGAAAGAUGACAUGUUUUCCCAUGCGGUGCAACACAAUGUUUACUCCUACGAAUUAUGGCUCAUGUAUAUUAAUAGUAGGUUGCGCUUUGAUGACCGAUUGGAUGCUUAUAACGAUGCUCUGAGUAUGCUCUGCCAAAUGCCAGCUGAUGCUGACAAUGAAUUGAAAGAUAGGAGUGCCUUCAUCCUAGAUAUUUUCUUACAGAUGAUUUACUUCCUGUGCAUGUCUGGAAAUGUAGAUAAGGCUAUUUCUAGGAUAUAUGGGAUUCUACCUGCUGCAACCGCUGACUGCUCUGGCGAGAAGUUACUUUCGGAUGCCAUAUCUUGCUUGACCGUGUCUGACAGAUGCAUAUUUUGGAUUUCAUGCCUGUACAUCUCAAUUUAUAGGAAGCUUCCAGAGGAAAUUUGCGAUCAGCUAGAAUUUCCAAAAGAUAUACCUCGCAUGUUAGUAUGGCAUCCUAUUGAACUUAGGGUAGACAACAGACGUCAGGUUACAGAACUAUUGAAACAUGUUGCUGAUAAGAUGUCUCUAGAUAUUAACGAGACUGUUAAAAAUGGGGAUCCGUCUUACCUGAAAUUGUCACAAUUCCUCGCUGUUAACCACAUUAGUUGUUUAGCUGCUCUUGAAGGCUUGCAAUCUUCUGUUGAUAUGCUGAUGAAGUAUAUGAAGGAGUACCCAAUGUGCCCCAAUAUUCUUCUUUUCGCAGCUCGGAUAUGUCAAAAGUAUGGUACAUGUCCUGGUCUGAAAGGGUUUGAUGAGUUGCUCAUGGAUUGGCCUAAAGAGGUGCAAGGAGUUCAGUUUCUGUGGAAUCAGUAUGCUGAGCAUGCUUUGGCAGAUAAUAGUGAGUUAGCUGAGAAGAUUCUGGCUCGCUGGUUUGAAGAAUAUGGAAAAGAUGGUGAUCUCCAUUCUAGUGCUGCUGUUUGUAUGGCGGAAGUUGGUAAUGAAGUGUCCGAACAACCAUCACUAGCCUAUACACAAGAAGUUUGUUCUGGUCCAUCUGCAUCUGAAGAUCAGGUCUAUUGGUUGUUAAACCUCUCACUGUACAGGAUGCUAGAGAACAACCUACAGGAAGCACAAGUUGCUGUGAACAAAGCAUUGAAGUUGGCCCGAGGGGAGAGCUAUGAGCACUGUUUAAGGGAGCAUGCUGCAAUUAACAUGCUAGAGAGACCAUCUUGUACAGACACUCAAGCUCGAGCUACCUUAAAUCUGAUCAGUGGUUAUCUUGCAGACCUUCGGAACUUACCUGUGAAGGAACUGCUGUCUCGAAGGUUUAUCCAAAAUGUUAAGAAGCAUAAGCUUAGGCAGUUGAUAGAUGACACUAUAGGUCCAGCUUCUGCAGAUUCUUCAGUGAUAAACUCAACCCUUGAGGUGUGCUAUGGCCAGUCCCUCCUUCCAGAAAAAAUAGGCGGAGUAAAAUACCUUGUGGAUUUUGUUGAAUCAGUUAUGGAGGUUCUUCCUGCAAACUACCGCCUAGCUCUGGCAGUUGGCACAUUUGUGGUUAAACAUUACAAGGGCGCUGACCCUACCUCGAUGGGUACCAGGUUCUGGGCAAGUUCUGUUCUGAUCAAUGCCAUUUUCCGUGCUGUACCCGUCGCACCAGAAUCAGUAUGGAUAGAAGGUGCCAAUCUCCUGGAGAAACUGCAGGCUGCUGAGACGGUGAAGCGGUUCCACCAGCAGGCAACAUCAGUGUACCCCUUCUCAUUCAAGCUGUGGCAUGCUUACUUGACUGCCUGCAAGGCCAGUGGAAGCAACACGGAUAGCAUCACAGAAGCCGCUAGGCAACGAGGCAUCGAGCUGAAUGUAAUGCCACCCUAG